RNAcentral lists this transfer RNA (95 nucleotides) under Planotetraspora kaengkrachanensis. RNAcentral's name for it is "tRNA-Asp". Lineage: Bacteria; Bacillati; Actinomycetota; Actinomycetes; Streptosporangiales; Streptosporangiaceae. The record is from RNAcentral.
CGCGGACCGGGCGACGUUGAUCGCGAGCCGCGUCGUCGUCGUGGCCAGGAACGCCGCCGGGUCGAUCACCGUCGUGCGGUCGGUGGCCUGCCACC